Molecule: ribosomal RNA, 1446 nt
Filed under: uncultured organism
Description: 16S ribosomal RNA
Rfam family: Bacterial small subunit ribosomal RNA
Source: RNAcentral
GAACGCUAGCUACAGGCUUAACACAUGCAAGUCGAGGGGCAGCAUGGUCUUAGCUUGCUAAGGCCGAUGGCGACCGGCGCACGGGUGAGUAACACGUAUCCAACCUGCCGUCUACUCUUGGACAGCCUUCUGAAAGGAAGAUUAAUACAAGAUGGCAUCAUGAGUCCGCAUGUUCACAUGAUUAAAGGUAUUCCGGUAGACGAUGGGGAUGCGUUCCAUUAGAUAGUAGGCGGGGUAACGGCCCACCUAGUCUUCGAUGGAUAGGGGUUCUGAGAGGAAGGUCCCCCACAUUGGAACUGAGACACGGUCCAAACUCCUACGGGAGGCAGCAGUGAGGAAUAUUGGUCAAUGGGCGCAAGCCUGAACCAGCCAAGUAGCGUGAAGGAUGACUGCCCUAUGGGUUGUAAACUUCUUUUAUAAAGGAAUAAAGUCGGGUAUGGAUACCCGUUUGCAUGUACUUUAUGAAUAAGGAUCGGCUAACUCCGUGCCAGCAGCCGCGGUAAUACGGAGGAUCCGAGCGUUAUCCGGAUUUAUUGGGUUUAAAGGGAGCGUAGAUGGAUGUUUAAGUCAGUUGUGAAAGUUUGCGGCUCAACCGUAAAAUUGCAGUUGAUACUGGAUAUCUUGAGUGCAGUUGAGGCAGGCGGAAUUCGUGGUGUAGCGGUGAAAUGCUUAGAUAUCACGAAGAACUCCGAUUGCGAAGGCAGCCUGCUAAGCUGCAACUGACAUUGAGGCUCGAAAGUGCGGGUAUCAAACAGGAUUAGAUACCCUGGUAGUCCACACGGUAAACGAUGAAUACUCGCUGUUUGCGAUAUACGGCAAGCGGCCAAGCGAAAGCGUUAAGUAUUCCACCUGGGGAGUACGCCGGCAACGGUGAAACUCAAAGGAAUUGACGGGGGCCCGCACAAGCGGAGGAACAUGUGGUUUAAUUCGAUGAUACGCGAGGAACCUUACCCGGGCUUAAAUUGCAGAUGAAUUACGGUGAAAGCCGUAAGCCGCAAGGCAUCUGUGAAGGUGCUGCAUGGUUGUCGUCAGCUCGUGCCGUGAGGUGUCGGCUUAAGUGCCAUAACGAGCGCAACCCUUGUUGUCAGUUACUAACAGGUUCCGCUGAGGACUCUGACAAGACUGCCAUCGUAAGAUGUGAGGAAGGUGGGGAUGACGUCAAAUCAGCACGGCCCUUACGUCCGGGGCUACACACGUAUUACAAUGGGGGGUACAGAGGGCCGCUACCACGCGAGUGGAUGCCAAUCCCAAAAACCUCUCUCAGUUCGGACUGGAGUCUGCAACCCGACUCCACGAAGCUGGAUUCGCUAGUAAUCGCGCAUCAGCCACGGCGCGGUGAAUACGUUCCCGGGCCUUGUACACACCGCCCGUCAAGCCAUGGGAGCCGGGGGUACCUGAAGUGCGUAACCGCGAGGAGCGCCCUAGGGUAAAACUGGUGACUGGGGC